This 656-nucleotide ribosomal RNA is filed under the name Shewanella algae. RNAcentral's name for it is "bacterial SSU rRNA". It matches the Rfam family "Bacterial small subunit ribosomal RNA", at positions 344 to 992 of the family's 1533-position model. The record is from RNAcentral. Lineage: Bacteria; Pseudomonadati; Pseudomonadota; Gammaproteobacteria; Alteromonadales; Shewanellaceae.
GGAGGCAGCAGUGGGGAAUAUUGCACAAUGGGGGAAACCCUGAUGCAGCCAUGCCGCGUGUGUGAAGAAGGCCUUCGGGUUGUAAAGCACUUUCAGCGAGGAGGAAAGGGUGUAAGUUAAUACCUUACAUCUGUGACGUUACUCGCAGAAGAAGCACCGGCUAACUCCGUGCCAGCAGCCGCGGUAAUACGGAGGGUGCGAGCGUUAAUCGGAAUUACUGGGCGUAAAGCGUGCGCAGGCGGUUUGUUAAGCGAGAUGUGAAAGCCCCGGGCUCAACCUGGGAACCGCAUUUCGAACUGGCAAACUAGAGUCUUGUAGAGGGGGGUAGAAUUCCAGGUGUAGCGGUGAAAUGCGUAGAGAUCUGGAGGAAUACCGGUGGCGAAGGCGGCCCCCUGGACAAAGACUGACGCUCAGGCACGAAAGCGUGGGGAGCAAACAGGAUUAGAUACCCUGGUAGUCCACGCCGUAAACGAUGUCUACUCGGAGUUUGGUGUCUUGAACACUGGGCUCUCAAGCUAACGCAUUAAGUAGACCGCCUGGGGAGUACGGCCGCAAGGUUAAAACUCAAAUGAAUUGACGGGGGCCCGCACAAGCGGUGGAGCAUGUGGUUUAAUUCGAUGCAACGCGAAGAACCUUACCUACUCUUGACAUCCACA